AGGCACACUUGAGUCAUGUUGUCUGUGGCUGUGCUCCUGCUGCUGGCAGCUGCUUCCUGUACAGUGGACAGUGUGGAGCUCCUCCAGCCAGGCUCAGUGCUGCUGCAGCCUGCUCAGGCUCUGUCCAUCAGCUGUCAGGUCUCUGGUUACUCUCUCACUGACAACAGCUAUGCCACAGGCUGGAUCAGACAGAGAGAGGGGAAACUCGAGUGGAUUUUCCAUCAGUGGGGAGGAGGUGGCUUCUACCAGAACAAUGCUCUGAAGAACAAGUUCAGCCUGAGCAGAGACACGUCUGCAGGAACAGUGACUAUUCAAGGACAGAGGCUGCAGCCUGAAGACUCAGCUGUUUAUUACUGUGUGCGACCACAGUGAUACUACGGCUACUUCGACUACUGGGGAAAAGGAACCCAGGU
Molecule: non-coding RNA, 413 nt
Organism: Periophthalmus magnuspinnatus
Lineage: Eukaryota; Metazoa; Chordata; Actinopteri; Gobiiformes; Gobiidae
Source: the annotation of a RefSeq genome assembly